AUGGACACGGACAUGGACGAGUUCAGCAACCCAGGCUGCGGCGGGACGGGCGGCGCCGGCUGCGACUGCCGGGACUGCGAGGACUACUGGAACCACGACCACGGCCACGCCAAGCAGUUCCUCCUCUUCGCCUCCGACCACAAAGAUUUUCUGUGCAUACCGUGGGAGGUCAGAAGACAGCUGAGAAAUGUGAUCACCGACGGCGAGCCUAUCAAACUUGAAGCUCCCGAUGGCCAGAUGCACAGUGUUAAAUUCGUCAAGUUCGGCCUGAUAACUCUUACGACUGGCUGGCGGCGCUUUGUGAAUGCAAAUCGCAUACGACGAGGUGACCCCAUCUUGUUCGUCUACUGUGGGAGCUCCACGUUCAAGGUCCACAUAUGCAGUUCAUCCAGUCACAAGAAUUCUCUGCCCUGUUCUCAACAGCCUCCCAACAUCCUUAGAGCUGUUCCUCCUCAUGAUCGUCAUGUGCUGAAUGAACAAAUGGUGCCUGGUCCUGCACAUGUUGGCUAUACCAUAUCCCUUGGGACCUGGCUAACCAAAGAACAAAAGAAGAAAGUGCUAGAGCUAGCUGAUAGCAGCAUGAGGUCUGAAAUUCCUCUGCAUGUGGCAGCUAUGAUCAAAAGAAAUGCCAACGAGGACUGCUAUGUUUACAUACCGUUGAAGCUUUUGGACAAUUUCAAAGAGGGGGUAACUGAAGCUGCCAUUCAGCUUGAAGCCCAUGGCAACGACAUGGUAUACAGUGUUGGCACAAGCAAGCACAGUGAUGAUCAAGUAAUCCUCCAAUCUGGGUUGAGUCAUUUUGUAGCUUCUCUCCGCAUACAAGACAACGACCUCCUCGUCUUCAGAAACAAGUGGAAAGACCGCCUUGAAGUUCUUGUCCUUGAUCCGAGCGGCUGUGAGAAAACUUGUUUUGCCAUGGGAAACUCUUCAAAUGCUCAGGAGAUUGCUUCGACAUCCUCCCCUUGUACUAAGUCAGGAUACAUCGCUGGCAGGUCGAAUGAAACAAGUUCAGAAGCUCCUAUGUCCAACAAGUCCUACAUAUUACCCGAACGGAAGAACCUAACUAUGCAACAAGAGAAGAAAGUAAAGGAGAAAGUCCGGUCGAUAGGAUCUGAAUUCCCUGUGUUUGUGAAGGUGAUGACGGCACGCGAUUUAUCGAAGCCAACAAAGCUGAAUUUCUGCGUGGAAUAUGCUUCGGCGUGUCUCCCGCUCGAACAAACACCUCUCCUACUUGGGCUGGCGGGCAGCACGAUGCAGUGGCCUACAAUGCUGACCGUCAUGGAAUAUACGAAUUGGAGGAUGAUUUCCUUACUCUGGAAGGACUUUGUCUUGCAGACCGAGAUGAAGGCGGGAGACAUCUGCCUCAUCGAACUGGCAGACAGGAGCAGCGAGAGCCUCAAGAUGAUGGUCCAUCUGAUCCGCAAGUCAGAAAUGCAGCUCUAG
Molecule: ribosomal RNA, 1443 nt
Filed under: Triticum aestivum (bread wheat)
Lineage: Eukaryota; Viridiplantae; Streptophyta; Magnoliopsida; Poales; Poaceae
Description: partial small subunit ribosomal RNA
Source: RNAcentral